CUGAUGGGCGGUGACCACAGGGACCAGUAGGUGACGUCACAGCUGGGAACUAGGGUGUCCUGGAGACAGUCCCCCGAGCAGUUCCCUAGAGCAGUUCCCUGUCCCAGGCCUGGCACUCCUCGCCCACUUGUCAGAGGCAGACACGCAGGACCCACCUUCCCGCCUCUAGCCCUGCCCACAGGCGCCAAGCUCCGCCUACAUGCGCCAGGCCCCGCCCACAUGCGCCAGGCCCCGCCUCUACGCAUCCACUUAGGACUGGUUGCCGCUCAGCGCUUCGUUAGAACUGUGUCCACUUCUGGGCAAAUCAAGUCACCCAAAGGGUUGCUUGGCUGACUGGCAGCCCCCGCGUCGGGAGUUUUCUCUCAGUGGAGCACCUGGGCCGUCUUCUGAGGACAGCUGAACCAGUUACUCACUUGGACCACGUUUUCCCAGAUGGCUGAGAAAAGCGGAAGGACGCCACUGCCCCUUCGCCAGCCCCAGGGCCGGGCCGGGCAGCCAGGUCACAGCAGCAAUGAGACAGGCAUCAUCACAGACGUUGAGGAUGCAGCCCCAAGCCCUCCAGCUGGCAGACAGGCUCCUGGGUGCCCCUCCCCGACGGACAGCCACUGAGUUCCCGGACCCUGGACCAGAAAAAGGACAUGCGGGGAAAUCUGAAGCAAGUACGGACUCCAGUCACUAAUAAUUAUAAGCCAGCACUCUGGCGUGACGUGUCAACGUGAGAGGAGUGUCGGGUGUAUGGGAGGUCUCUGCUCUAGCUUUCAAAUUUUGCUAUAAACCGAAGAUUACGUUUAUUUUUGAAGAUGAUUCUGAAACAAAAACAGGACUGAG
Long non-coding RNA from Bubalus bubalis (water buffalo), 828 nucleotides. RefSeq lists it as uncharacterized. The record is from RefSeq and is a predicted model, not a curated record. The transcript has 4 exons. NCBI's taxonomy places the organism in Eukaryota, Metazoa, Chordata, Mammalia, Artiodactyla, Bovidae.